GUGUCAGCCGCCGCGGUAAUACGUAGGGGGCGAGCGUUGUCCGGAAUUAUUGGGCGUAAAGAGCGUGUAGGCGGUUCGGUAAGUCUGCCGUGAAAACCUGGGGCUCAACCCCGGGCGUGCGGUGGAUACUGCCGGGCUAGAGGGUGGUAGAGGCGAGUGGAAUUCCCGGUGUAGCGGUGAAAUGCGCAGAUAUCGGGAGGAACACCAGUAGCGAAGGCGGCUCGCUGGGCCAUUCCUGACGCUGAGACGCGAAAGCUAGGGGAGCAAACGGGAUUAGAUACCCCUGUAGUCC
Molecule: ribosomal RNA, 292 nt
Filed under: uncultured bacterium
Lineage: Bacteria
Description: partial 16S ribosomal RNA
Rfam family: Bacterial small subunit ribosomal RNA
Source: RNAcentral